This 497-nucleotide ribosomal RNA is filed under the name uncultured bacterium. RNAcentral describes it as "partial 16S ribosomal RNA". It matches the Rfam family "Bacterial small subunit ribosomal RNA", at positions 28 to 507 of the family's 1533-position model. The record is from RNAcentral.
GAUGAACGCUGGCGGCGUGCCUAAUACACGCAAGUCGAGCGAACAGACGAGGAGCUUGCUCCUCUGACGUUAGCGGCGGACGGGUGAGUAACACGUGGAUAACCUACCUAUAAGACUGGGAUAACUUCGGGAAGCCGGAGCUAAUACCGGAUAAUAUAUUGAACCGCAUGGUUCAAUAGUGAAAGACGGUUUUGCUGUCACUUAUAGAUGGAUCCGCGCCGCAUUAGCUAGUUGGUAAGGUAACGGCUUACCAAGGCGACGAUGCGUAGCCGACCUGAGAGGGUGAUCGGCCACACUGGAACUGAGACACGGUCCAGACUCCUACGGGAGGCAGCAGUAGGGAAUCUUCCGCAAUGGGCGAAAGCCUGACGGAGCAACGCCGCGUGAGUGAUGAAGGUCUUCGGAUCGUAAAACUCUGUUAUUAGGGAAGAACAAAUGUGUAAGUAACUAUGCACGUCUUGACGGUACCUAAUCAGAAAGCCACGGCUAACUACGUG